This 465-nucleotide ribosomal RNA is filed under the name uncultured bacterium. RNAcentral describes it as "partial 16S ribosomal RNA". It matches the Rfam family "Bacterial small subunit ribosomal RNA", at positions 338 to 795 of the family's 1533-position model. The record is from RNAcentral.
CCUACGGGAGGCAGCAGUGGGGAAUAUUGCACAAUGGGGGAAACCCUGAUGCAGCAACGCCGCGUGAGUGAAGAAGUAUUUCGGAUCGUAAAACCCUGUUGUUAGAGAAGAAAGUGCGUGAGAGUAACUGUUCACGUUUCGACGGUAUCUAACCAGAAAGCCACGGCUAACUACGUGCCAGCAGCCGCGGUAAUACGUAGGUGGCAAGCGUUAUCCGGAUUUACUGGGUGUAAAGGGCGUGUAGGCGGGACUGCAAGUCAGAUGUGAAAACCACGGGCUCAACCUGUGGCCUGCAUUUGAAACUGUAGUUCUUGAGUACUGGAGAGGCAGACGGAAUUCCUAGUGUAGCGGUGAAAUGCGUAGAUAUUAGGAGGAACACCAGUGGCGAAGGCGGUCUGCUGGACAGCAACUGACGCUGAGGCGCGAAAGCGUGGGGAUCGAACAGGAUUAGAUACCCCAGUAGUC